This 353-nucleotide ribosomal RNA is filed under the name Nymphalis urticae (small tortoiseshell). RNAcentral's name for it is "Aglais urticae (small tortoiseshell) partial 12S ribosomal RNA". Lineage: Eukaryota; Metazoa; Arthropoda; Insecta; Lepidoptera; Nymphalidae. The record is from RNAcentral.
ACAUAUUUUAAUUUAUAAUCAUUUUAAUAAACUAAUUAAAAUUACAUUUAAAUCCACCUUCAAAUUUUUAUUACAAAAAAAUUAUUCAUUUAAAUAUAUUUAUUGUAAUCCAUCAUAUUCUUAAUUAUAAUCUGCAUCUUGAUCUGAAUUAAUUUUUAUUCUUAAAUUUUAAAUAUUAUUUUUACUAAAAAAUAUUUUUUUAACAAUGAUAUACAAAAUUAUAAAUUAAGUAAAUUUAUUCGUGGAUUAUCAAUUAUUAGACAGAUUCCUCUAAAUGAACUAAAAUACCGCCAUAUUAUUUAAGUUUCAAUAAAUUAUUAUUUACUAUUUUAGUAUUAUAAAUUAAAUUUUUA